This is a long non-coding RNA of Drosophila subpulchrella, 642 nucleotides long. RefSeq lists it as uncharacterized. The transcript is spliced from 2 exons. The record is from RefSeq and is a predicted model, not a curated record. NCBI's taxonomy places the organism in Eukaryota, Metazoa, Arthropoda, Insecta, Diptera, Drosophilidae.
CGUCGAGUUGCACAACAUUGCAGAACAUAUGGUUUCAGUGCCGCACAGACAAAUUCGCGGUUUUUGUUUUAGUUUACCGUGUUUGCAAUGCCAAAAAUAACAACAAAGACAAGCUUUUGCUGGAGGCACUUUACAAAAGUUGACGGAAAUAGCGCAAAAUUGAAAACAUCGAUGCAUCGAUGUUUCUAGCCGAUGUUUCGACCCAAAUUUACAUCACUACCGCAGAGCAGUCUGCGACGCAUGAGGUGCCGAUGCUCUAACCGACUCUCCCUCGCUCAUUCUCUUUCUUUUAGUAUAUUAGCGCUGAGAAGGUGCUGUUUUUUUUGCUGAUGAAAGAGUUAUUUAGUGAUAAGAGCGCUGAAAGAGUAAUGAAUUUGUGCCAGAUUUGUGCAGUGAUGAAUCGUAGGACAUGCCUAUGUUAAAUUCAUUACUAUUUAUAAAACCUUUUUUCGAAAAAAAGGCUUGGAAAUGAUUUGAUUGCAGUGAUUAGCUGCAAACACUUUAAAGCAGAGGCCAACCUUUCUGAAGAAACGCCCACGGUCUGACCGUGACAAAAUUUUUCACGGUUGUACUUUUGCCAGCCAAAUAUAAUAUAUCGGAAAACUCACCAAAAAAUAUAAUUUUUCGAUAUUUUGGUCUAAA